UACGUAGGGAGCAAGCGUUGUCCGGAAUUACUGGGCGUAAAGGGUGCGUAGGCGGCUAGGCAAGUCAGAUGUGAAAUCCCCGGGCUUAACUCGGGUGGUGCAUUUGAAACUGCUUAGCUUGAGUGCAGGAGAGGAAAGCGGAAUUCCUAGUGUAGCGGUGAAAUGCGUAGAUAUUAGGAGGAACACCAGUGGCGAAGGCGGCUUACUGGACUGUAACUGACACUGAGGCUCGAAAGCGUGGGGAGCAAACAGG
Molecule: ribosomal RNA, 253 nt
Filed under: uncultured bacterium
Lineage: Bacteria
Description: partial 16S ribosomal RNA
Rfam family: Bacterial small subunit ribosomal RNA
Source: RNAcentral